Molecule: ribosomal RNA, 440 nt
Filed under: uncultured bacterium
Lineage: Bacteria
Description: partial 16S ribosomal RNA
Rfam family: Bacterial small subunit ribosomal RNA
Source: RNAcentral
CCUACGGGGUGCAGCAGUGGGGGAUAUUGCACAAUGGGGGGAACCCUGCUGCAGCGACGCCGCGUGGGUGAAGAAGCGCCUCGGCGCGUAAAGCCCUGUCAGCAGGGAAGAAAAUGACGGUACCUGACGAAGAAGCCCCGGCUAACUACGUGCCAGCAGCCGCGGUAAUACGUAGGGGGCAAGCGUUAUCCGGAUUUACUGGGUGUAAAGGGGGCGCAGACGGCGAUGCAAGUCAGGAGUGAAAGCCCGGGGCCCAACCCCGGGACUGCUCUUGGAACUGCGUGGCUGGAGUGCAGGAGGGGCAGGCGGAAUUCCUGGUGUAGCGGUGAAAUGCGUAGAUAUCAGGAGGAACAUCGGUGGCGAAGGCGGCCUGCUGGACUGCAACUGACGUUGAGGCCCGAAAGCGUGGGGAGCAAACAGGAUUAGAUACCCCUGUAGUC